Molecule: ribosomal RNA, 253 nt
Filed under: uncultured bacterium
Lineage: Bacteria
Also listed under: 1 other name
Description: partial 16S ribosomal RNA
Rfam family: Bacterial small subunit ribosomal RNA
Source: RNAcentral
UACGAACCGUCCAAACGUUAUUCGGAUUCAUUGGGCUUAAAGGGUACGUAGGCGGCCCUGUUAGUCGGGUGUGAAAUCCCUCGGCUCAACCGAGGAACUGCGCCCGAUACUGCAGGGCUUGAGGGAGACAGAGGUAAGCGGAACUGAUGGUGGAGCGGUGAAAUGCGUUGAUAUCAUCAGGAACACCAGUGGCGAAAGCGGCUUACUGGGUCUCUUCUGACGCUGAGGUACGAAAGCUAGGGGAGCGAACGGG